RNAcentral lists this unclassified non-coding RNA (449 nucleotides) under Manduca sexta (tobacco hornworm). RNAcentral describes it as "uncharacterized LOC115452968, transcript variant X2". Lineage: Eukaryota; Metazoa; Arthropoda; Insecta; Lepidoptera; Sphingidae. The record is from RNAcentral.
UAACUUUUUAUCGUUUGAACAGGCGUAUUUUAUUACAAAGAACAAUGCUUACAAUAUGAAAACACAUAUAUUGUUAAUAUUCAGUUUAGUGUCUGUACGCUGUAUUAGAAAUGAUCCUACUGUCUAUACAAGAGCUAAAAGAGAUACAUCAGGAGCUCUUCACAUCUUGACUAACCACGCCCAGCCAAUCCACGCAGAUGUUAAACAAGAGAGAAACGGAGACACCAAUGAUAAAGUACUGCCACCAAGCAACGUUGGGUACGAGCUAAAAUCACUCAGAAAAUCCUCGCCACUCACAAAUAAAUUAGAUUUGAUCAGAAGCAUCAGUAGAGUGGCCACACUUUCUGUACUUUUAAUAUCCGCCAUUUUGGAAUUUUAUCCGAUGCUGCAGCAUUUGUAUUACACUAUUUAUAGUUUUGUUUAUUUUAAAUAAAUUAUAUGGAUACUUC